This 75-nucleotide transfer RNA is filed under the name Podargus strigoides (tawny frogmouth). Its description in RNAcentral is "tRNA-Leu". It matches the Rfam family "tRNA". Rfam says of the family: Transfer RNA (tRNA) molecules are approximately 80 nucleotides in length. RNAcentral also lists the same sequence under 1 other name. The record is from RNAcentral. Lineage: Eukaryota; Metazoa; Chordata; Aves; Caprimulgiformes; Podargidae.
GCUAAGGUGGCAGAGUUCGGCAAAAUGCAAAAGGCUUAAACCCUUUACUCAGAGGUUCAAAUCCUCUCCCUAGCU